Lonchura striata (white-rumped munia) is the source of this 1734-nucleotide long non-coding RNA. The record is from Ensembl. Lineage: Eukaryota; Metazoa; Chordata; Aves; Passeriformes; Estrildidae.
AGGAGCACCAACCCGACGAGCAUCAUUUUUGUUGGUGCAUAGAGGAGAGCUGUAGGUGAAGCCAGAGGAUCCCCCUUUGCCUGACAGGAGCUUUACAAAGGAAGGUCAGUCACCAAGUACCCAUUACGCAGGCAAAGGAAGCUGACACUCAUGCAAAGACUUUGGCAAAGGUGGAAACAAAACCUCGGGCUGUGAUCCUGCAUUAACAGCCGUCUGGAUCUGCCUGCCUGGAGCUCCUUACAGAUGAGCAGUGUGGGAGCGGACCGGUGAAGACGUAACUCCCUUUGUGCCUGCUGUUACUGCUGAUGCCCCGAAAAGCUGCCUCUGGGUGCUGCUGGUGCCACCCAGACCUCUGCCACCGCAGCACCUGGUCGCAGCAGGGCUCAACACCCACUGAUGGCUCGAGGACGAAGCAAGAGGUAACUUUUACUUGGGGAUUUCAGUGCGAGUCAAGCACUCCAGCCAGCGUGGCCCUUGUCUCGGGGUGCUGCGGGUGCCUACGCUGGCAGACAAAAGCAGGUCAGGGAACAACCCAUGCUGACCAGGCGAUGGAGCAGGAUGGCCACGGCUGCGCUGCGGAGGAUGUGAUCCCCAGGCUCCUGUGGGCCAUCUUUGUUUGCAAGGGCGAGACACAAGAGGAAGAGAUGUGGAGAAGUGUUGGAGAAGAGCAGAGGACAAACAUAGAGGAGUGGGCUGCUACAGGAACCAGCUUCACUUCUUGGCAUUGCAUUCUGCUGCAGCAUAGCUCCAGAGCACUUGCCAGAUACUGAACUGAAAGUUCCAGUCCUGCUGACCACCAUCCAUGAUGAGGAGACCCCCAGACUCCAGCAGACUCUCAGCCACUGCUCUGAUGGCAGGAGCUCUCCAGCAGCCUGGCAAAUGUAACCAGGAGCUGGCAGACAGGACAAAUUCAAAGACCUGCUGGGCUUUAAGGUACAAGGAGGGGAUGGGAAGGGAUUUAAUUUAACAGACUGAAUUUAAAGGUGAGUUUCUCCCAUGUGCUUUUUGUAGGAUGCCUGUAUCCUCUAGCUGAUCUACAGAGAUUUGUAAAUCUAUUAUUGCUUCCACAUACCCUCAGAGAAAUUUGUGCUUUAUGUUUAGUGUGUAGAAAUCUUUAGGUCCUAGGUUCCCAUUCAAGUGUUUGUCCAAUGUGAUUGGAUUACCAUUCCUUUAAGACUGGUCAUAUUCCUUUUCUUCAGAUAAAACUGUCAUGCUAGAACUUUUCUACCAUCCCUGUGUCUCCAGAGAGAAUCUUGGAGACUUUAAGGUCACUUUUCUGAAAAAUGGUCUCAAUAUAAUUCCAAAAAUACAUUAUAAUUUGGAGCCUGCUCCUCAACCUCCAGCAGAGAUCAAAGAGAUCCCAGAAAAAAUAUUAAGCACCAUGCAUUCCUAGGAGCUGAGCCUUUGGCUGAAAUGAAUCAAUCAACUAUCCUUUUAUCAGCCAUAUAUAAACUGACUUAGGGCAUUUUGGAGCCAAAGGCUACUAGUACAAGGCUGCUGGUUUAGGCUUUGUUUUCAUUAAAAAGUUUGACUCCAAAGGAAGAUCGUUGUUUUCAAACAGUAUUUUUUACAUCUUCCUGUUAUUUUCACCUUCAAGCUUGCUCAGCCAGUUGGGUAUGAAAAACUUGUUCUUGCUUCUUAGUGGCAAGAUCAUGUGUUGGUGGUAUGUAUGGGGUGCUAAUUACUAUCUGUCAUUAGUAUUUAUGGGGUUCCAAUUGCUACAGCACCCUGGUG